UUAGUGGCGGACGGGUGAGUAACACGUGGGAACGUGCCUUUAGGUUCGGAAUAGCUCCUGGAAACGGGUGGUAAUGCCGAAUGUGCCCUUAGGGGGAAAGAUUUAUCGCCUUUAGAGCGGCCCGCGUCUGAUUAGCUAGUUGGUGAGGUAAUGGCUCACCAAGGCGACGAUCAGUAGCUGGUCUGAGAGGAUGACCAGCCACAUUGGGACUGAGACACGGCCCAAACUCCUACGGGAGGCAGCAGUGGGGAAUCUUGCGCAAUGGGCGAAAGCCUGACGCAGCCAUGCCGCGUGAAUGAUGAAGGUCUUAGGAUUGUAAAAUUCUUUCACCGGGGACGAUAAUGACGGUACCCGGAGAAGAAGCCCCGGCUAACUUCGUGCCAGCAGCCGCGGUAAUACGAAGGGGGCUAGCGUUGCUCGGAAUUACUGGGCGUAAAGGGCGCGUAGGCGGAUCGUUAAGUCAGAGGUGAAAUCCCGGAGCUCAACUUCGGAACUGCCUUUGAUACUGGCGAUCUUGAGUGUGAGAGAGGUAUGUGGAACUCCGAGUGUAGAGGUGAAAUUCGUAGAUAUUCGGAAGAACACCAGUGGCGAAGGCGACAUACUGGCUCAUUACUGACGCUGAGGCGCGAAAGCGUGGGGAGCAAACAGGAUUAGAUACCCUGGUAGUCCACGCCGUAAACGAUGAUUGCUAGUUGUCGGGCUGCAUGCAGUUCGGUGACGCAGCUAACGCAUUAAGCAAU
This 740-nucleotide ribosomal RNA is filed under the name Brevundimonas terrae. Its description in RNAcentral is "bacterial SSU rRNA". It matches the Rfam family "Bacterial small subunit ribosomal RNA", at positions 92 to 868 of the family's 1533-position model. The record is from RNAcentral. Lineage: Bacteria; Pseudomonadati; Pseudomonadota; Alphaproteobacteria; Caulobacterales; Caulobacteraceae.